This 561-nucleotide unclassified non-coding RNA is filed under the name Hevea brasiliensis (rubber tree). The record is from RNAcentral. Lineage: Eukaryota; Viridiplantae; Streptophyta; Magnoliopsida; Malpighiales; Euphorbiaceae.
GUAAGAUAUCUAGAUCCAUCCCUCCACUGUAAAUUAUUUUGACAUCCAGCCCACGUUCUUUCAAGCGCUUGGAAAGAGUUUUCAUUAUAUCUUGAGCUUUCUCUUUCUGAACAUAGAAACUGACUUUGUGUGGUCGCUGCUCUGUUUCUGACUGCAGACUGAGUUCAGGAAACUUGCUUGUCUCCUCUGUUACUAUCUUUCUAUCCCACUUGUUAUUCAGAAAAGUUUCCCAACCAUCAUCAGGCACCAUAGCGUUACCAUAUGUUAUUUCAGUUCCCACAGACAUAAUUGUAAUAUCUGGGGUUAGCAUGGGCUUUUCUUUCCUCAAUUCCUUGUAUAGUGUAGGUGAUCUCCCAGUAGAGAACACUAACAAAGAGUUAUCACGAUAAUUGGCCUCCCAUAAAGCAUUGAACCUAAGCAGAGAAAGGUUCUCGGAAUCAUGAUGAUCUACCAUUGUAUGGUCAAGAUCCGAGACUAUCAUGAGACGUGCAGCACUGGUUAGCCUAUCCAUGAUUGAUGUAAAUUGGCUUCAACCUGAAAUUGGAUUUGGGGAAACAAAAA